AUUGAACGCUGGCGGCAGGCCUAACACAUGCAAGUCGAACGAGUGGCGGACGGGUGAGUAAUGUCUGGGAAACUGCCCGAUGGAGGGGGAUAACUACUGGAAACGGUAGCUAAUACCGCAUACCAUCGGAUGUGCCCAGAUGGUAUUAGCUGGUAGGUGAGGUAACGGCUCACCUAGGCGACGAUCCAUAGCUGGUCUGAGAGGAUGACCAGCCACACUGGAACUGAGACACGGGCCAGACUCCUACGGGAGGCAGCAGUAGGGAAUCUUCGACAAUGGGCGCAAGUCUGACCGAGCAAUGCCGCGUGAGUGAAGAAGGCCUUCGGGUUGUAAAGUACUUUCGGUAGGGAGGCGUUACCCGACGAAGAAGCAACGGCUAACUACGUGCCAGCAGCCGCGGUAAUAC
This 406-nucleotide ribosomal RNA is filed under the name uncultured bacterium. RNAcentral's name for it is "partial 16S ribosomal RNA". It matches the Rfam family "Bacterial small subunit ribosomal RNA", at positions 30 to 526 of the family's 1533-position model. The record is from RNAcentral.